RNAcentral lists this long non-coding RNA (2376 nucleotides) under Trifolium pratense (red clover). RNAcentral's name for it is "long non-coding RNA (TPRA_LNC012748)". The record is from RNAcentral. Lineage: Eukaryota; Viridiplantae; Streptophyta; Magnoliopsida; Fabales; Fabaceae.
CAAAACUACCCUCAGAAACUAUUAAAGCUACUCUAUUAAAGUGAGUUUUUCCUAAAGGAACCCACUUGGAUGAGAUUAACUCAGAAACUUUAAGAAAUGAGCUACUCCACAGAAUUCCCAAUAGCUCAAGAUGAUGAUCAUGAUGCUAACCUCAAACCCAAAAUUCUGCACCUGACCCUGAACUUCAAACGCGUCUGCAGGAUUCAUUACAGCUCCAUAAUUCAUACUAUUGGCGUCGGAACGACCGGAAUUUCGUUAGCUAACCAUAGAGACAAACCACACUAAAUUCGGAGUUAUAGAGAAAGAGCAGUUACCAUUUUAGUGAGCCCCUGUCCAGAAUACGGGUUUCACAUACUUCUUCCAAUUCCCAAUUUCUAUUGUACCACAAAAUCACUUAUGAGUUUGAAAACCCAUAUAGGGAAAUCAAUGGCAGAACUGGAUCUUUGUAGAAAUCAUAAAACAAAACCAUAAAAAUCAAUAAUAUUAACCAAAGAUCAGAAAUAGAAGGUUUAAAAACAGAAAUUGAGAAAAUCUAAAUAGAAAUCAUAAAACAUAACCACCAAAAUCAAUAAUAUUAACCAAAGAUCAUAAAUAGAAGGUUUGAUUUCGUUGUACUACUAAACGUGGAAAUUCUUUUUCCUUUACCACAAACAUUGCAAUUUGAGUAGCAGAGCCCAAUGCAACAACUAAGGAAAUGUCCUGCAGCCAUGAAAGUACAUCAGUCUCAUUCUCAUAACCAAUUUAAUCAAACAAAAUCAGAACUAAAUGNNNNNCUCAAAAUGUAGUUUUUGCGAGGAUUAUGCCGGGCAAUGACACACAGUAAUUUGUCAAACUCAUGGUAAAUUCAGAUAUAAUGAAUUCAUCACUCCAACCUAAAUAUCAGAAAGAAAAACACACUCCAAUAACAAUAACCUUUUUUACUGCCAAUCUUUGUGAAUCUCUUCGAGUAACCUCUGCUAAUCUCUGCUUUCUACACAAAAUUAAUUCCACAUUAUUAAUUAACAAUCUUAUAAUAAACUCAAAAUUUAANNNNNNNNNNNNNNNNNNNNNNNNNNNNNNNNNNNNNNNNNNCAAUUAGUUAGUAUACAAUGUGAAUUUGUGAUAGAAUGAAAACGAAAUUGAAUACCUGAAGCGCAACCUCAAUAUCGGCGUCGACUACGGCGUAGAAUGCGUCCUAUGAAUAUGGUGAUAACUGAUAACCGAAAACAAUGCAAGAUCAUCAAUUAAGUCUAUAAAUUAACCUAUCUUAAAGGUAGGUCUACAUAACAAUAACAUGCUUACUAAUCUCUUUGAAUNNNNNNNNNNNNNNNNNNNNNNNNNNNNNNNNNNNNNGUUUAUCCUAAAUUCCACAACAUAUAGUCAUUUCAAUCAUGCUAAGGGCUUGUUUAAAUCAUUAAUUAGUUCAAUUAUAGAGUUAUCCUAAUUAAUCCUAAAAAUCCUAAGUUGACAUGCAUCAUGAAUUUGGGGAAAAGCUAAUAAAGCCACUCUAUUAAGUGAGAGUUUACCUAAAGGAACCCACCAGAUUUAACAACAGUACGGUGUUAUUUCGCAAGCCUAAAACCAUCCUUUUGUGCCGCUCGAGUACCCAAACCUGUAGUCCUCAAAACACCAUUUUGACAGCUUCAGUACCUCAACUUCAAACGCGUCCCUAGACCUCAUUUCCUAAUCAAAAAUUAUGAAAUUGGCAUCACAACGACCGGAAUUGAGUUAGCUAACCACAGAAACAAACGGCAUCUCAAUCAGAGUUACGAGGAGUGAGAAUUUACCUUUUUAGUGGAGUCUUGUCCUAGAACACGGGUUNNNNNNNNNNNNNNNNUAAACUCACAUGCAAUUUACCAAAUGAGAAGAAGUGAAGAAUGGUGUUUUGGAUUUUAACUUGAAUAGAAGAAGGAAAAAAAGUUUAUGGUUCUUACCUAUAACUUCUCUGUAAAACUUGAACGCCAUCAGAACCUCACACAUGCAAUCAAGUUCAUAAUUGAGUUCUUAAAAUGUGAUGAACACAGCAAGAAUUCAAAGGAAAUCCAUGGAUGUUUGAUACAAAAUUACCCUUACCUUGGAGCUUGAGAUGAGAGGAACCUAUUUAUGAAAUUGCAUGUUGAUUUAAGAUGAAAGUUUGGUGGUGUUUGGCUUGAUGAUGAUGAAACGAGAGAGGGUGAGAGCACGAGAGAGAGAUAGUGAGAGAGAGAAAAGAGAGAAGAGAGAGAAAAAAACUUCACAAAUGAAAAAAAAAAGGAAAAUUCUAGCGUGAGGUCAGUAAAAUGGCCUCUUUAGUGAGGUCAAUUGAAUUGCCCAAUAGAAUUUUAAGUGAUGCCACAUCAGCUCUACAUUGUAAUGAAGGUAUAUGAUAAGACUUUUUAAUGAAAAGUUUAAUUAUUG